UUACAUCUCUUCGGAGCAUUUUACGAGGUGCUGCAUGGUUGUCGUCAGCUCGUGCCGUGAGGUGUCGGGUUAAGUCCCAUAACGAGCGCAACCCCUACCUUUAGUUGCCAUCAGGUUAAGCUGGGGACUCUAAAGGAACUGCCUACGCAAGUAGUGAGGAAGGCGGGGAGUGACGUCAAAUCAGCACGGCCCUUACGUCCAGGGCUACACACGUGCUACAAUGGCCGAUACAGAGGGCAGCUACCUGGUGACAGGAUGCAAAUCUCCAAAGUCGGUCUCAGUUCGGAUCGGAGUCUGCAACCCGACUCCGUGAAGUUGGAUUCGCUAGUAAUCGCGCAUCAGCCAUGGCGCGGUGAAUACGUUCCCGGGCCUU
This 373-nucleotide ribosomal RNA is filed under the name uncultured Sphingobacteriales bacterium. RNAcentral's name for it is "bacterial SSU rRNA". It matches the Rfam family "Bacterial small subunit ribosomal RNA", at positions 1009 to 1382 of the family's 1533-position model. Lineage: Bacteria; Pseudomonadati; Bacteroidota; Sphingobacteriia; Sphingobacteriales. The record is from RNAcentral.